CUCCCAUCUCACAGUAGUGACCAUCUACUAUGGCACCAUAAUCUUUGCCUAUGUCCGACCUCCAGCUAAGUACAACUUCACAAUUGGCAAAGUAGUCUCAGUGUUCUACUGCAUGAUCACCCCUUUAGUUAACCCUCUCAUAUAUACCCUGAGAAACAAAGAUGUGAUGAAAGCUUUCCAGAAAUUUCUAUCCCAAAAGAAGUUUUUAAUGGGCAAAAACAUGCAUGGACUUUGAGAAAGCAACAAUUACUAAUUGGAGGUUAGUCUCAGGCCUCAUUUAAUCAUGUUUAUUUUACGAACAGAAGAGAUGGCAAGGAAGGGUAAAUCACAAAUAUCUUACUGGAUAAUCCAUGCUGCUGCAAAUAGAAAAGAAAGAAGGAAUGCAGAUGUCAUCACAGUUGGUGAUUAGCAGGCUAAAGAACUGAUGGUGCUUAUUGGUGAAAAAUACUUGGUAUACACUUGUCCUGAUAUUUUGAGGUAAAUUUUCUAAAUAUUUCUGUUAGAUUCUAUUGGUACCUAGUGUAAACACCUGCAACAUUUAAAUAUGAUUGGA
This 553-nucleotide long non-coding RNA is filed under the name Mus spicilegus (steppe mouse). Its description in RNAcentral is "lncRNA (ENSMSIG00000010514.1)". Lineage: Eukaryota; Metazoa; Chordata; Mammalia; Rodentia; Muridae. The record is from RNAcentral.